CUACGGGAUGCUGCAGUGGGGAAUAUUGGGCAAUGGGCGCAAGCCUGACCCAGCAACGCCGCGUGAGGGAAGAAGGUUUUCGGAUUGUAAACCUCUGUCCUUGGGGACGAAGAAGUGACGGUACCCAAGGAGGAAGCUCCGGCUAACUACGUGCCAGCAGCCGCGGUAAUACGUAGGGAGCGAGCGUUGUCCGGAAUUACUGGGCGUAAAGGGUGCGUAGGCGGCAUAUUAAGUCAGGUGUGAAAUCCCCGGGCUCAACUCGGGGGGUGCAUUUGAAACUGAGACGCUUGAGUGUGAGAGAGGAAAGUGGAAUUCCUAGUGUAGCGGUGAAAUGCGUAGAUAUUAGGAGGAACACCAGUGGCGAAGGCGACUUUCUGGCUCAUAACUGACGCUGAGGCACGAAAGCGUGGGGAGCAAACAGGAUUAGAUACCCCUGUAGUC
This 441-nucleotide ribosomal RNA is filed under the name uncultured bacterium. RNAcentral's name for it is "partial 16S ribosomal RNA". It matches the Rfam family "Bacterial small subunit ribosomal RNA", at positions 339 to 795 of the family's 1533-position model. The record is from RNAcentral.